Molecule: ribosomal RNA, 301 nt
Filed under: uncultured bacterium
Lineage: Bacteria
Description: partial 16S ribosomal RNA
Rfam family: Bacterial small subunit ribosomal RNA
Source: RNAcentral
CAGUAGCCGCGGUAAUACGGAGGGUGCAAGCGUUAAUCGGAAUUACUGGGCGUAAAGCGUGCGCAGGCGGUUAUAUAAGACAGAUGUGAAAUCCCCGGGCUCAACCUGGGACCUGCAUUUGUGGCUGUAUAGCUAGAGUACGGUAGAGGGGGAUGGAAUUCCGCGUGUAGCAGUGAAAUGCGUAGAUAUGCGGAGGAACACCGAUGGCGAAGGCAAUCCCCCGGACCUGUACUGACGCUCAUGUACGAAAGCGUGGGGAGCAAACAGGAUUAGAUACCCCCGUAGUCCCUGUCUCUUAUAC